ACGCUUUUGCGGUUCGUAACCCUGAGGGCCGGGUUUUCCCGCGCAUGCGUGCGAUGUGCCGCCCACCAUCCUUGUGACGACGUCGGCACGUUGCCGGUGUGACA
Molecule: small nucleolar RNA, 104 nt
Organism: Lemur catta (Ring-tailed lemur)
Lineage: Eukaryota; Metazoa; Chordata; Mammalia; Primates; Lemuridae
Product: small nucleolar RNA U13
Exons: 1
Source: RefSeq, a predicted model, not a curated record